RNAcentral lists this long non-coding RNA (2285 nucleotides) under Schizosaccharomyces pombe (fission yeast). Lineage: Eukaryota; Fungi; Ascomycota; Schizosaccharomycetes; Schizosaccharomycetales; Schizosaccharomycetaceae. The record is from RNAcentral.
UUUGCAAGUUAUUAACUAAAAUUAUUACUAGCUGCUAAAGAAACGCUUGGGUUGUUUAGAUCUUUUAUAUGUAAAAUGAUAUAUUAUGUAACUGAAGAAGAAUCUAACCUAAUUGAAUAAUUUCCUUUAAAUUAAUCUAAGCUUACAAAAUAAGUUUCAUCAGCCAACAUUAUUUAAAAUUAAAAUCAUGCUGAUUUCGAACCUCGAGUUUCAGGAGGCAGAAAAGUAAUUCCACUGCCAUCGCACAUACGUCGAAAGUGACCAUUAUUAUGAUAAAGUACGGCUGGGGGACCAUACUCUACCAAUACACCCUUAUCCAAGACCAUGACUUUGUCAUAAUCAACAAUAGUUUUCAAACGAUGGGCAAUACAUAACAUAGUUGCAUCGCCAAAUGCUUCACGCAAUGUUUUUUGAAUUUUCUGAUCCAUAGCAUCAUCCACAGAGGCAGUACACUCAUCUAGAAUAAUAAUUUUGGAACGUCUAACUAUUGCGCGUGCUAAUGCAAGGACUUGUUUUUGCCCUUGUGAAAAAUUAGAACCUUCAGAAGCAACAUGUGUAUCUAGUGUGAUAUGAAUAGGUUUUUGAUCAUCAGUAUGAGCCAUAAUCAUUGAACUGGCUCCACUUGUUUUGAGAGCUUCAUUAAGAAAAUUGUCUUCAAGCUCGUCGAAAGGAUCUAAAUUACUGCGUACGGUACCUGAAAAUAAGAUUGGAUCUUGAGGGAUAAAUGAUAUACGUUGCCUUAAAGCGUUUAGGUUUACCGAUUGUGUUUCACGACCGUUAAUAUAUAUUUCACCACUAAUACGAUGUGUAAACCGUAAUAGUGUAAGGCCAAGAGUACUCUUUCCGCUACCAGUACGACCGACCACAGCAACCUUUUCACUCGGAUUUAUAUGAAGAUUCACGUCUUUAAGGAUAGUAGGACCGGCUGCGGAAUAGCUAACACUAACAUGAUUAAACACAAUAUCUCCCUCCUUAGGCCAUGUAGCUGGUACCUGGCCUGCAAUAGUGGGUGCUGGUUCUUGCGGAAGUUUGCUAUACUCUAAAACUCGUUCAUAGCUGUUCAUCUCAGCUUGCAACGAAUUACAUGACCUUACAAAUAACAGAACCGAAGAACUGAAAAUAACAGCCUGAUUAAGAGAAAAACCCACCACACCUGGAGACAAGUCUUUCUGCAAAAGAGCGAUUAAACCGGCAAUUGCACCAACUAGACCACUGAUGCCAUCUGUUCUAACAGCAACCCAUCUGUUCAAAUUAUAAGAGGUUGAUUGUAAGCGCACGAGAUUAUCAAGUCGCUCAGAAAACAUUUGCUUAAAAAUGGUUUGUCGAUUGAAUGCGCGAAUUACACUCACACCGACGAUACUUUCGCCAAGCAGACUAAAGAUAGGAGAAGUAUAAAUUGAAAUUAAUCUUUUAACGCCAACCUGUGCCCUAGUAUACAACAAGCCGAAGUAAUAUCCUGCUAAACAAACUAUUACUGCAGGUAUCAUGAAAAUAGGCAUAGCGGAAGACACCGAUAAAAUACCUCCAGCGACGGAUAGGAAACAAUUAAUGGAAAAGAAAAGCCAUCCCGAUAAAUUCAUAUCAAUAGACCUUAUAUCUUUAGCAAAUCUAUUGACAAUUCUCCCCGUUGGCGUUUUAUCGAACCAAGAGGCAAAGGUACCGAAUACGCUUUCAAGCAUAGAAUCGUGAAGCUUUCUUGAUGCCCACCAAGCACCGCGGUCAUAAGACACGGUUCUCAAAAAAUCAAGCAAAGAAUAUGCUAAUAACAUUGUACCAUACACAAACAAAAACUUGUUAUUAUUGACGUCAGGAGAAUUCACGGAGCUGUUUGUCCAAAAAGCAACCCACAAAUCGAUCAAAAUUGAAGUAGCUUGAGUAGUGACGAAAAACAGUAAAACAGCAGCGACGUAAAAUCCAGAGCCAAAAUGUUUCAUAUAGCUAAAGAUUUCACUAAAUACAACAUCGCCUGUAACCCGCUGCUCUUCCUCAACCAGCUUUCCAUCUUUUUCGUCAGCAGCUUCCGCAUCAUCGACUUCAUUUGGGAUAGGUAUAGCAGCAAGAUCUGGAGCAGCUGCUUCGGAAGCUGAUGCUGCCUGCUCAGCCAAAAAUAAAAGAGGGGAUGACUUAUCAGUAACGGGAAAAGCAGAUCCAUUCUUGACAGUAACUAUGAAAGCAGCAGAAUCCAUAAAUAAAUGGACAUUGUGUGUUACUAAAAUAACUGUUCUAUUCUCCAUCAGAGAACUUUGAAAGCAAUGCUUAUAAAUCCAAUUGGAAGUAUGAAUAUC